GAUGGACGCUGGCGGCGUGCCUAAUACAUGCAAGUCGAGCGAACAGACGAGGAGCUUGCUCCUCUGACGUUAGCGGCGGACGGGUGAGUAACACGUGGAUAACCUACCUAUAAGACUGGGAUAACUUCGGGAAACCGGAGCUAAUACCGGAUAAUAUAUUGAACCGCAUGGUUCAAUAGUGAAAGACGGUUUUGCUGUCACUUAUAGAUGGAUCCGCGCCGCAUUAGCUAGAUGGUAAGGUAACGGCUUACCAAGGCAACGAUGCGUAGCCGACCUGAGAGGGUGAUCGGCCACACUGGAACUGAGACACGGUCCAGACUCCUACGGGAGGCAGCAGUAGGGAAUCUUCCGCAAUGGGCGAAAGCCUGACGGAGCAACGCCGCGUGAGUGAUGAAGGUCUUCGGAUCGUAAAACUCUGUUAUUAGGGAAGAACAAAAGUGUAAGUAACUAUGCACGUCUUGACGGUACCUAAUCAGAAAGCCACGGCUAACUACGUG
RNAcentral lists this ribosomal RNA (497 nucleotides) under uncultured bacterium. RNAcentral describes it as "partial 16S ribosomal RNA". It matches the Rfam family "Bacterial small subunit ribosomal RNA", at positions 28 to 507 of the family's 1533-position model. The record is from RNAcentral.